GGAAGAGUAGCUCAGUUGGUAGAACAUCAGACUCUGAAUCUCAGGGUUGUGCGUUCGAGCCCCAUCUUGGGUGAAUGAUUCCU
Molecule: non-coding RNA, 83 nt
Organism: Podarcis lilfordi (Lilford's wall lizard)
Lineage: Eukaryota; Metazoa; Chordata; Lepidosauria; Squamata; Lacertidae
Source: the annotation of a GenBank genome assembly